GCAAAUGUUUACAUUCAAUUAAGGGGAAAAAGUAGAACCAGCACAAAUGAGUGGCAGUUGCUGGAGCAUAACUGCUUCAAUAAAUCUUCAUCUUGGGGUAAUUACAGGCAAGUCAUUUUCACAUCCUCUUGAGGUUCAGAGCAUCAGAAUGAACUCUAUGAAUACAUGUGUAAGUGCCAGACAGCUGAAUCUUUAUCAGGUAUUGUAAAGAUACACAUAUGAUAUGUUUAUUAAAAUUGAAAUAAUGUAAAACACAUGAAUAAAUUUGCAAAACCAAGAUCACAGUACACCAUAUGCACUCUGGUACCUUAAUUUUUUUUUAUAAAUAAUAAAAGUGAAUAUUGAAGCUUCUUAAAGUUGGUCUUAAUUUUUCAUAAAUAAAAUUUGGGGUUAUAACAGAAAUAAUACAUUAAAUACAUAGACAAAAAAAGUUAAACAUAAGAUAAUCUAUUUUACAGUGUUUCUUAUAGGCUUACAAUUAUUUGAAUGUAUUUCCAGUUCUUGUAUGAUUAACUUUUGUGCAUAUCUAACUUUUUAUUAUUUUUAUCUUUGGCUACUGCACGUGCAUCUCUCGUCAUUCCUCCACCAAAUAAACAGACAAAAGUAGUAUUGAAAAGUUUACAGUCCCUUAUCUAAUGGCAAAUUGUGUGUAUGUAUGAUUUUUUUAUCUUGUUCUCUUAAGAUUUACUGCUGCUUAAAAUUACUACCAGUAAUCCUUAGUCACUCCCAACUGUUUCUGCUGUAUCUCAUGAAGUGUUAGAGCGUUUAUGAGAAACAUAAAUACAUGUAUAAGCAUAUUGGUCACACCUUCUGGGCUAGCUAGGGUCCAAAGUCUAUCCAUGAAAGCUACAUGCAUGUUCUCUCUCACACACUCAUGGACUUUCACCUGCACACACAUACAGGUCCCCAUUUGUAUAGGUUUAGUCCAGUAAGAGAAUGGAGAAGCUCAGUAAAGGUAGGAUGACUUCCCAAGGUUAUACGGCUGAUCAACUGUUGGAAAUUAAUUACAGACCUUGCUUUACAACCCAGGUUUUGCUAUUUCAGGUAAGUACUACCUACAGCAGGAAUCAGUAACGUUUGGCCCUUUAACCCAAACUGGACUGCUGCCUGUUUUUGUAAAUAAAGUUUUAUUGGAACAGAGCCAUGCCUAUUCAUUUGUGACUCCUGUAACUGGAGGCAGUUAUACAAAGCUGCCAUGUUAGCUCCUGUUUCCUGUCUGGUUCAUUCUGCAUUUCUGUGGUGACAAGUGGACCCAAGUAAGCUCUAGAAGAUGUUCUCAGUAAAAUCAUUACUGUUUCUAUGUGAUUACAUUAAAAAUAAUACAAACAGUAGGAUGGUACUUCAAAAAGUCAAGCAGUUUUCCUGUUUCUGGUCACAGUAGCCAAUGUUUGCACACCCACUGAAAACAAUUGAAAAAACUAGGUAAAAAUAACUUUUUAAAGAACCAUUAGAGACAGUACAGGGUAUGUGCUCAAUACUGGUUCUGUGGCCCCUUUCCAAUAAUAAGAGGCAGUUCUCAAUUGUUACUGGGAGGAGUUUUGCCAUCUCAUGGGAUUUCUUUCCUUCCUCAUGUUAGCAUGCUUUCUGGGAGAACUUCUCUUUACCGCAGAAGAGCCCCACCUGCUUCUCUUCUUAGGCACCACAAAUCUCAAACCCUUUCUCCCUCCACCCCCAGCUCUAAUGAAAUGUGCAGGGACUGGAUGACUGGAAGCCCCAGCCUGGGUCUCUGCUGUCUAAUCCUGGCUCAAGUACUGACAAGUCAAAUCACUUGACCCCCAUGAAUCUCCUUAAGAAAAUCGUGGUGUUGAAUCAGUGUGUCUAUUCCAACUAAAAAAAUUAUUUCAUUUGAAUUAACUGAGUCUUUGCCUCCACUGUGUUUCGUUCUCCGUCCUCCCAGCAACCCAGCAUUCAGAAUACAUGGGUCUUUGUCUUUCCCUUUAGGAUCUAAGUCAGAGAAGCCUUCAUAGGGAGAUAGAUAAUAGGGAUUCUUGCUAUCUCCCCUAAAGGGGAAGGGGAGGAAACCUUGAAUGGAGAGAAUUUUUUGAGGAAUAAAGAAGUGAGAAACUGAAUUUCAAGAGUCUCAGUCUGAACAUAGCAAACCAAGGGGUGAAGAAUUUAUCAGUAGUCAUGGGUGGUAAACUGAAAAAGGGAAGCUGACUAAGUAAAAUCCCGGAAACCAGAAGAGGAGGAUGUAAGUGACGCUCUAACAUGAAGGGUUUUUGGGCAUCCCAAUCAGCAGAAUUUCUACCUGCCUUCUGAUACCCUGAGACAGCCAGGUCAGGAUGUGAUGGUGCAGUACCUGCUAGCACUUUGCUGCAGAAUGCCUCUGCACUCAGUUCUGCAAAUGUACUGUUUUAGUUUCAUUUAAAACCCCUUUUUUUGUGAGAAGAUUUCAAACAUCAGGCAAGUUUGUAAUGAAUUCAAGCUGAGUUCUCUCGAGGGACAAACAUGUAUAACUACAGUUCCAGUGUCAGUGCCAGCUGUCAGGUUUUCACUGUGCAGCUAGGGCUGCCUGCAUACCCAGUCAUGUAAACCAAAUUCACUCUAGAAUCGGCCAGGUCUUACCAAAAUGCAAAUAGAAUACAAAGCAACUGGAAAUAUAUUUCGUAAUUUCAUUUUAUGUGUGAUUUUAAAAGUUAAGCUACUUCAAAACUCAUCUGUCUAACUUAUUUUCACUAAUAAGUGUAACUUGCCUGGAAUUUGGCAGAUCUAAGCUGGGCUUGGGCUAGAUGGUUUCAAGCCUGAGUCAUUAAGAUGUGAAAUUUACAGAAACAACAGAGGAUUGAGGAACAAGUUAAAGGACACUCUAAUGGUGCAGUCUGCAUAAUGCAGUAGUAUGAAAUUCUACAAAAAACCAAGAUGAAAGGAGGAUCAGAUUUAAGAGACAUACUAAUCAAAUUUGGACCUGAUUGGGUUCUGAUUGAAACUAAAAAUAAAUGUCAUGACACUUACAAGACAAUUGGAAAUUUGAACACUACAUAUUUUAACGUAUAAUGUUACUUAUUUAAUAUAAAAUUAUAUUUUAGAUGUGAUAGUAUUGUGGUUACGUAUCUUGUAUAGAUACAACCUGAAUUUACAAAAGGAAUGAUUUGUCUGAUUUGAUUCAAAUUAAUAUGGGAGCAGAGAAAGGAAUGUUUUAGAUUAACCACGGUUUUCCAUGAGUUGAAAUAUACUUACUUAGCAGAAUAUUGAGCUAUAGUUGCCAUAUAAUAAACUGCACGUAUUUAAAAUGUACAGUUAGUCUACUUUAUUUAAAAUUUUCUCUAAUAGUGUAAAGAAAAAGGUGACUAAUCAAUUCAGCCAUUCUAAAAGGACACUUCAUUUACAAAAUAAGCAUAGGAUCAUAUUCCUUUGCCCUGGAAAUGUGAAAAGUUUUUAAGAAGACAUUUAAAGGAACAAGUUUCAUUGCUGUAAUUUUCUUAAUAGAUUCCUCUACAUUGUAUAUUUGAAAGAUAGAGGAUUUGAAAGAAAAUUUGCAUAACAUUUGGGACAAACCGUGGGUUUUUUAACAGCUUUAUUGAAGUGUACUGAACAUAUGAUAAAGUUUAACCAUUUCAAGUGUGCAGUCUAAUGUCUGGAAUGCAGCCAUCAGCACAAUCUGGGUUUUUAGCACUUCCCAAUCAUCUGGAAGAACUCCCUCAAGCUCAUUUGUAGCCAGUCUCCGUUCCCACCCCUAGCCUCAGCCAGUGAACUGCUUUCUAAUCCUAUAGUUUUUCUAGAAAUUUUAUAUACAUGGAAUCGCAAUAUGUAAUUUUUUGUGUCUUCUUUCGCCUAAUGUAAUGUUCUUAAGUUUCAGCCACUUUGGGUGUAUCUGUUCAUUCCCUGUUGCUGCUGUAUGUGGUAUAUUUCUUUUUACAUUGUAAGAAACUAGCAGACCAUUUUCAAAAUGACUAUCAUUUGACAUUCCUACUAGCAGUGUGUGAGACUUGCAAGCUUUGCACUUCCUCAUCAACACUUGAUGAUAUCACCUUCUUAACUUUGGCCAUUCUACUGGUUGUGUUACAGUAUCUCAUUUUAAUUUGCAUUUCUCCAGUAAAUGAACUUACUAGACACUUGUAUAUCUUCUUUGAUAAAGUUUCUAUUCCGAUAUUUUGCCCAUUUUUUCAGUUGUUGGAUUGUCUAUCUUGAGUUGUGAGAGUUUUUUUUAUGUGUUUUGGAUACAAGCUGUUUUUUAGAUGUGUGUUAUGCAAAUAUUUUCUCCCAGUGUGUUUCUUGCUAUGUUGCCCAAGCUAGAUUUCUGGAUUCAAGUUAUCCUCCUGCUCGGCCUUCUGAGGAGCUGGUACUACAGGCACGUGCCACCGCACCUGGCCCAGUGUGUGUAAUAGUCUUUUGAAGAGCAAAACUUUUAAAUUUUCAUAAGGACCAUCUCAGCAUUUUUUUCAUUUACAAGUUGUACUUUUGGUAUCAUAUCUAAGAUAUCUUUAUCUAACUUAAGGUAACAAAGGUUUUUCCCUAUGUUUCCUUACAGAAGUUUUACAGUUGUUAUAGCUUUAGUUCUUGUAUUUAGGUCUGUGAUCCAUUUCAAUUUAAUUUUUGUGUAUCGUAUGAGAGAAGGGUCAAGGUCGUGUGUGUGUGUGUGUGUGUGUGUGUGUGUGUGUACAAUUUGAACACUAAUUUAAAAAGCUAUAUUUUCCCAUUGAAUUACUUUGGCACCUUUGUCAAAAAUCAGUUAACCAUAUAUGUGUGAGUCUAUUUCUGGACUCUGUUCUAUUGAUGUAUACAUCUAUUUUUAUGCUGAAAUCAACUGACUUGCUUAUUGGGCUUCAUACUAACAAAGCAACGUUUUCCAGAUUGAGUGACUUUCCUGGCCUUGCUCACACAAGACAGAGAAGCAGCUGCAAGUAAAAUUGGCUGGAAUAAUUGGGAGUCACCAGGCAGAUACCCUGUGCUUUCCACACAGUAUCCAGAUGUAGAAGACACGCUGCCUUUUCCUACAACUUUUCUUCUGUUUUGGGGGUUCUGAUCUUGUAAGUUUUAUAUCCUAAGGGAGGACAUUGCAAAAGGAAUGUUCAUUUUCCUUCCCUUUUGCUUGAGAGAAAGACGACUUCUUUAGCACCAUAUAUAUAUAUAAAAACAUAUAUAUUUAUACGUGGGAGUGGGGGAAACAUGAUUUCCUUUUUAAAAAACAGUCUUAAAAUCUUGGAAACAGGUUUGUAUCAGGUAGAUCUUGCUGUUAAUGAAUCCACUGUUGCUUAUUUUAAAAGAAGAAACUUUAAUCACCAUCAAGAGGAAUUGAAGAGUAUUUAAAAACAUCACCAAAUUUACCUGAGAGACUCAUUCUCAGAAGGCAAAUAUCAAUAAAGGAGAAAAUAGAGAUAAUUAAAUCUUUGGAAUUAUGGCUAGAAUGCCCAUUUGUUCCUUAAACUUACUUCUUGUUUUACAGGCAUAUUUAAAGAUCACUUUAAGAAAUACCCAUAUGUAUUAUUAGAAAGUCAUACUAAUUGCUGUCUCAAUUAUUGCCUCUUUAAAGUACUACUUUUUUUUUUUUUUGAGACAGAGUCUCGUUCUGUCGCCCAGUCUGGAGUGCAGUGGCGAGAUCUUGGCUCACUGCAAGCUCCGCCUCCUGGGUUCAUGCCAUUCUCCCGCCUCAGCCUCCCUAGUAGCUGGGACUACACUACAGGCGCCUGCCACCACACCCGGCUAAUUUUUUUAUUUUUAGUAGAGACAGGAUUUCACCGUUCACAGGAUGGUCUCGAUCUCCUGACCUCGUGAUCCGCCCGCCUCGGCCUCCCAAAGUGCUGGGACUACAGGCGUGAGCCACCGCACCCAUCAAAGUACUACUUCUUAUGAAGCCUGUCUUCCCACCAGGUUCUUCAGGAGCAUCUUGAUUCUUCUUGGCCUUUUUAUUUUCACAUGAUUUUAGACUUAGCUUGACAAAUUCCACAAGAAAGUAUAUUGGGAUUUUUACAAUGAUUUCACGUAAGCUGUUGAUCAAUUUGGAGAAAACUGACAUAUUUACAAUGUCUUCCAAUGCACAAACUUGAUGUCUCCCCAUUUACUUAUGUUAGUUUUAAUUUGUCUCGAUAAUGCUAGAUACAUUUGCAUCAAUUUCUUGCCCAUCUUUUGUUAGAUUGAUUCCUAAGUCUUCACUAUUGCAAUUGUAAGUGGUAUCUUAAUUUAAAUUUCAUUUUCUAACUAUUUGUAGUUAGAAUUUACAAAUAAGAUUGAGCUUUCACUAUUGACAUUUGGCAACCUUGCUAAACUCUUACAAAUUCCAAUAAUUUCACUGUGGAUCGCCUGCAGUUCCAGGGGUUGGUAAACUAUGAGCUGUGAACCAAAUCUAACUUGAGGCCUGUUUGGGCAGGCUAAGAAGGUUCUUACCUUUUCAUAAAUGGUUGUAAAAGCAAACAAACAAAUAUAUAUAUAUAUAUAGCAUAGUAUGUGACUAGAGAGCCUAAAAUACUUACUGUGAAAAAAGCAGACAAUACAGAAAUUAACUAGAAAUUAUUAAGAUAAUUGACACAGAGGGAGACUCUUUGUAAAUUAUCUUAAGAAGUUCUUAAGACAACAUUGUUCUCAUUCCGGCAGUUUUAUUUUUCACUUUUAAUCAACUUUAAGCCUAUUAACUGUUUUCUAUCAUUCAAUAUCCUCUUUUUGCUGCAGUUAAAAAUCUGCAAAAGUAGAUUCUUCAAACUAAGAUAUAGUGACUCUGUCAAGCCCAGUUUCAAAAAGCAUGUGACAAGACUAUAUUGCCAAGUUUAAACAUAUGCUCUAUAGCAGAAAUAGGGAAGAAAUUCACUUAUUACUUUAUCCAUGUAAGAUUUAUUAAACAUGUAACUUCGUUGGAACCAACAAAGCUACUUUCAUGUUUUUAUGUUGUUCUUUUUAGAUAUUUAGAUUAACCAGAUAAUCUUAAAUUAUCUUAGAAAUUAGAAAGUUUCUGCAGUAUUGUUACAUUUGUUCCAAGUAUACAAGUUGUUUCUAUGCACUACCUUCUCAAUCCUGUGAAAGAAGUCUAUUACCAAAGCAAUUUCUAACACAUUGCUCAAAAGACACAGUAACGUUGUGAAAGGCAUUUUGUUGGAUUUAGUCCCAUUUUAGUAUCCCCUUAAAAAGUUUGACUGAUGACUCUGGAUAUUCAGCCAACAGUGUUGUGUCAAAAACUUGCUUGAAUUUAUCUAAAAAUUCAUAGUCGGUGCUGAACCUGAAUUUGUUUGCCCAAAGCAGCACCGUCCCUGGCUGGGAAAGGUACACCAUGGUGGUGAGCAGCUUGUCCAGGAAGUAGUGAUGGUAGACCACAUCUGAGGCUAGGACGUAAUCAUAGUAAAAAGCUGACUUGGGAAAGUUUUUGUCCAGGUCUUCCCCCCAUACCAGUUCUUUCACUUCAGGCAGAUGUGCUGUACAUUGUAGUGUGUUUUUUAAAAGAUUGUAUUGAAGGUUUCCCAGGACAUCAGGCAAAUCUGUUGCUGUGACUUGAGCUCCUAAGAGAAAAAGAAAACAAUGACCUGGAAACAUCUGGGCAGUCACAGUGUACAUAUACCCAGGGAGAAACACAAGAAACAACUGGAUUCCUUAGCCUUGGCUCUAUUGGUGGGUGGGCUGGACAUGUUUGACCUAAUGUGGGCUGGCUAAUUCUUGUGGGUGGUCCGUCCCGUGCACUGUAAGAUGGUGAGCAGCCUCCCUGGCCUCCAACCACCUGAUGUCAGUAGCUCCCCCACCUCACCUCACCUGUGGGAUUGACAACAGAGAUUCAGAGUCAUGCCUCUGGACUCAACUUCGUCCCAUGGAAACUGGUUGAUUGGAGUUUAUUAACCUCUCUGAGACUCAAUGAUCUCUGUAGAUAACAGCAGUAAUUCCUGCCGCAUGACAUUUUGGGGAGAGUCACUGAGUGAAGUUAGGGCCAGGCACCUAAACCACAGCCUGUCAUAGAGUAAGCACUUGCUAUUGUUGUUACAGUAAAGAUCUGGAUACUAGGUCAGGAAUAAACAAACAAACCUAAAAUACUGGCCACAAUGGAAACAAGGCCUGGUCCGGCACCAAUUUCAAGUAUUUUUGCAUCUUGGAAAUUCAAUUCCUCGGCAUGUUCCUCCAAGUAUUGACACAAAGCCAUAGCCUAAAAAAUAAUUAUAACUUUUCAUGUGGGCAUUGGAACAUUGGAAACCAGUAGCAACCCUUUCUGGCACCCAAAUUUAAAUACUAAAAGACAUGUUAUUACAUAUGUUCAGUUUAUAUUCAUAAGAACCCAAAUGUACACUCAAUGCCAUAUUUAGACCUCUGAAAUAAAGAAGUUAUAAUAAAUUGCAUCUCAGGAACUGGGGAAAAAGAUUUGUUAAAUUGCCUCCUAAAUCUCCAAAGAAUAGGAAGAACAGUAGAUCAGCUUAGCUCUUUCAAAUCAGGGCAAUGUUGGGCUAAAAGAACAGCAACUCCUUCCACUGGUUUAAUCAUGUUGGUCUCCAACUGCUUUAGGAAUGUUGUUUUAUGUUAGAAUUCUUUCUUGUAAGAGAGUUUUUUAAAUUAUAGAAGUAAUUUUUUAAAAUGUCAAUUUAUAAACUUGAACACCUCUUUCCUGACUCCUUUACCAAAAUUCAGGUUGGCGAGCACUUUGCCGUAUUGAGCGACGGGUUAGUGACUUUUUUUAAAGUGGUUCUUCUAAGAAACAGACAGUUCAGAAACUGCUUCUCAGACUUCAGUGUGCAAACAGAUUCCCUGGAUAGCUUGUUAAAGAUGCAGAUCCUCAUUCAGUAGGUCGAGAGUGGGGCUCAAGAUCCUGCACGUCUAAACAAGCCCUGACAUGAUGCUCAUCUGCUGGCCCAUGUACCCACUUUGAGUAGUAGCAAGCAGAUUUUUUUAAAUGUUUUAUAUAUCAACAAAUAUUGUUAGUUUUUUAUACAGGAAAUCAAACUUCCCUUUCUUCUUUAUUCGUUCUCUUCUCCCUCCACCUUCCUCUAACCUUUCCACAAAGAGUAAAGGGUAUUUGAUUUGCAUUGAUUGCUGAGGUGUUUACGUGUAUGGCAAUGAGGCAUCAACUAGCAGUGCCCUUGAUUGGAGAGAUUAGGAAGAGUUAUGAGAAGAAAUGACAAAAAGUUACUUAAAUUUGAGUAUAAAUAGCCCAGCGUGAGGAACGUGAACACUGAGAUUUAAAAAACAAUGAACUCUAUAAUUUACUUAUACAUUUAGGCCCUAGCUAAAGAUAUGCCCCCAUCUUCCUCUGGACUCUACUUUCUAUUUGGGGCCCAGUUUGGAGUGGGGGCAGCCAGGAUGAUUGGAGACGUGUCACUCUUAGGAUUACCAGUGGUAGGUUUGGUAGCCAACCUGACCCUGUACGUCACUCCAUUUCAUCCUCAUCUGUUCAUAUUGAACUGCCACGGGCAAAGAUGAAUAUGACGCAGUCACCUCUACUGUCUGGGAACUCAGUGGUGGGGCUUAGGGGCCAUGUCAGCCAAUUACAAACUGAAUUCUGGGGAGGUAAGUGCUGUAGAGGAGGCAGACAGCUGGUUGAAGGGAGAGGGGUCACCACAGAGCCGCCGAGGAGUCUGGGCCGACUUCAUGGGGCCGGGGAGAAGCCAGCUGGUGUGGAAGGCCAGGGCGGUGGGUAAAAUAGCAACAUGGUGUGACAUAAAUAGCACCAACUGCAGCACGCUGCAGGGAGCUCCAGAGCUUAGAAGGGAAGUUUUGAAGAAAGGAGUUCUUUGGUCCUUAAGGAGAGAAGAGAAGUAUUUGCUGUGGGGGCUG
Molecule: long non-coding RNA, 9672 nt
Filed under: Homo sapiens (human)
Lineage: Eukaryota; Metazoa; Chordata; Mammalia; Primates; Hominidae
Description: HSALNT0374852
Source: RNAcentral